RNAcentral lists this ribosomal RNA (273 nucleotides) under uncultured bacterium. RNAcentral describes it as "partial 16S ribosomal RNA". The record is from RNAcentral.
CUGCUGCCUCCCGUAGGAGUUUGGACCGUGUCUCAGUUCCAAUGUGGGGGACCUUCCUCUCAGAACCCCUACGCAUCGUCGGCUUGGUGGGCCGUUGCCCCACCAACUACCUAAUGCGCCGCAUGCCCAUCCGUGACCGGGGUCGCCCCCUUUGGCCGGCAGGGGAUGUCCCCUCCCGGCAUUAUGUUGUAUUAGGCGGGAUUUCUCCCGGUUAUCCAUCUGUCACGGCCAGGUUGCAUACGUGUUACUCACCCGUGCGCCGGUCGGCCCGGG